Molecule: ribosomal RNA, 497 nt
Filed under: uncultured bacterium
Lineage: Bacteria
Description: partial 16S ribosomal RNA
Rfam family: Bacterial small subunit ribosomal RNA
Source: RNAcentral
GAUGAACGCUGGCGGCGUGCCUAAUACAUGCAAGUCGAGCGAACAGACGAGGAGCUUGCUCCUCUGACGUUAGCGGCGGACGGGUGAGUAACACGUGGAUAACCUACCUAUAAGACUGGGAUAACUUCGGGAAACCGGAGCUAAUACCGGAUAAUAUAUUGAACCGCAUGGUUCAAUAGUGAAGGACGGUUUUGCUGUCACUUAUAGAUGGAUCCGCGCCGCAUUAGCUAGUUGGUAAGGUAACGGCUUACCAAGGCAACGAUGCGUAGCCGACCUGAGAGGGUGAUCGGCCACACUGGAACUGAGACACGGUCCAGACUCCUACGGGAGUCAGCAGUAGGGAAUCUUCCGCAAUGGGCGAAAGCUUGACGGAGCAACGCCGCGUGAGUGAUGAAGGUCUUCGGAUCGUAAAACUCUGUUAUUAGGGAAGAACAAAUGUGUAAGUAACUAUGCACGUCUUGACGGUACCUAAUCAGAAAGCCACGGCUAACUACGUG